CUACGGGUCGCAGCAGUGAGGAAUUUUGCGCAAUGGGGGAAACCCUGACGCAGCAACGCCGCGUGAGCGAAGAAGGCCCUCGGGUCGUAAAGCUCUGUCAAGUGGGAAAAAAAUUUUUUGAUCAAUAGUCAAAAGACUUGAUGGUACCACUGGAGGAAGCACCGGCUAACUCCGUGCCAGCAGCCGCGGUAAUACGGAGGGUGCGAGCGUUGUUCGGAUUUACUGGGCGUAAAGAGCGUGUAGGCGGUUUAGCAAGUCAGAUGUGAAAGCCCUGGGCUCAACCCGGGAAGUGCAUUUGAAACUGCUUCACUAGAGUAUGGGAGAGGAGAUUGGAAUUCCUGGUGUAGAGGUGAAAUUCGUAGAUAUCAGGAGGAACACCCGUGGCGAAGGCGAUUCUCUGGACCAAUACUGACGCUGAGACGCGAAAGCGUGGGGAGCAAACAGGAUUAGAUACCCGCGUAGUC
Molecule: ribosomal RNA, 464 nt
Filed under: uncultured bacterium
Lineage: Bacteria
Description: partial 16S ribosomal RNA
Rfam family: Bacterial small subunit ribosomal RNA
Source: RNAcentral